CUAUGAGUCUCUAACAUGAAUAGCUGCAAAAUUGUAAUGUUUAUAUAUUUGCUAACUGUCCACCCAUCAAACUUGACAGCUCUCUCAUAACAAAAGGCAGUAUUACCUUAGAGGGAAAUCUAAAGGUACUAGUGCUGUUCAGUGGGACACCUCACUCCCUCCCAGAUUAGAGCAGUGGAAUUAGAACCUGAUUGGCUUGAAGGAAAAGAGAACUGUUCUUGUCUGAGGUGGUUACCUCAACAAUGUAUUUCUCUUCAUAGAGGGUUUGCAAGACAUACCUAAAACACAGAGAUGGUGAUAAUGACAAUGAUCACUUAUAUUGUAUCACAUUUCAAUGUACUGCAAAAUUACUUACAGUCUGUCUUGUAUCAUUACAAUAUAUACACAUAAAAUAGGCAUACUGGUUUAUAUGUAUGUAUGUAUCUAUGAGACCAAGGAGAGAGAGGAUCUUUUCUUUGCUGAUGAAAUAGAAGCCACACAGAACUGGAACACAGUGAAGGACAGCAUAUAGUCUUAAUGCACAAGAACUCACGCAGGAACUGGAUGAAGCCUAUCAAAUUUUAAUAGCAUGUGACAUCUGGGUAAGUAGAACGCCACUUAUAAAAUAUUAAUUUGAUGGAUCUUUGCAUCUCUCUGGGUUCUUGCAUUUCCAGAAGUUAUUUCAGCCUUGAUUUAGACCUCACCAGAGGAACAUAGCCCUUACCAGCACAAUUUCUAUUGAUAGCAUGAUUUCUCAGAAGAGCAUUGGCUCAGAGCAAAGCAUCUGGACUCUCCAGGACAUCUGUGGAUAUGCUGGAGGUCUCACAUCUCUAUUCCAAUCAUAUCUCACCCCAAAGAACUUGUGAUCAUCAAUCUACAGCUGAAAACUGAAGCAGGAAGAUGUAUAGCAGGAUAUCAAAAGUAGCAGUGAACUUCCUUGUAUUAAUUACACACAAAGAUAGCCUAGCAAAUCUUACCUGCACUCUGACAGAAAGAACAUCACCUCCUCCACAGCUCUUUGAGAGCAAAGUGGAUGGCUAAGAAUGUAAUUAUGAUAUAACAGAGUCAACUGACACGGUUUUACUCAUUAUUCUUAUUCAGACCUGAAGCUUAAGACCUUAAAAUACAACCUCCUGGCUGUCUCCUCAUGAGUUCUACCCAUUUCUUCUACAAAGAGAUUAGUCUGGCCACAAACUUUGAAUAAGAACAGAAAUCUGGAACUAAUCUUCAUCCCACAAAUUGUAGGCAUUUCUUUCAAAGGUGUGUUUCAUUAUGUUACAUUGUUAGGAAGCAAAAUGCAUAUUCAAAUCCUAAAUCCAGAAUCCAUGUCCACAGACAUGAGAAGUGCUGACACAGGCCCACAGGUUAAAUCCUCACAGUGAACCAUUCCACAGAGAAGGAAAUUUGCAUAGCACAAAAGCAGUCUAAAGGCACCACCGUACAUGCAGAGACAUGGAGCACCUUCUAAAAGGCAGGAAACAUGGCUUGUGGCAAGAGUAAUUUUAGAAGUAAGACAAGAAGCCUGAGUAAGCAGAUGUUGUCUGCAAGGUCAGAAAGGUAAGUGCCGGUUUCACAACGCUGCAGUUUAUGUAGUGACACAGAACUUAUUCCAGACCCUCUGGGGAAUCAGCACCACCUGUGUUGAUUUCUCUGUUGAUCAGAUUAAACCAUGACCUACAAUCUCCUCCCUUCAAGCCAAUCCCAGACUCCUGCACAUGGAGAUCCAUGUUGUCUCCAUCUGGCACUAAGGUUCUGAGGGAACAGUCCAAAGGAAAUCAAAGUCAUUUCUUAGCCCUUUUUUUUUUUCCUUCCUGGGAAAAGAAUUUAAGCCUCCCACCAUUUAGAAACGCUGGCUUUUCACUUACUUUUUCCCUAUUUGCUAUCUUUUUCAGAACACUUGCAUUCAACGGGAAAUACACCAAACAAUUUUAUCUAUUACUUCAUUUAUUUUGACCUUUUCUAGUGCCAGAAAUGUAUUCAGCACGUUGUGUACGAGUGAAUAACAUAGUUCCACAGGCCAAACAUACACAAAAUGUGAGGAAUAAUGGCUGCAGAAAGGAGCUAGCAAUAAAAAAAUUAAAUAAUUAAUAAUAAGAGUUAAUAGUUAUAUAUGUAUGAAGUAUUUUACAUGAGGGAGGAGAGGAAGAGAGAGAAGGAGAGGGAGAAGGAAAAGUGAGAAAAGAAGGAAAAGGGGGCCCAUUCAGUACAUUCAUCGAUUUCACGAGCUCACACCUGUUUCUGCAGGAGAUACACUAAGCUGGCCAGCUGGCAAUGUGUGGACAAGGGAGCAGAAGUGAUCCUACAUCACACAAACACGCAGAAUUUCAUGGCAGAUGCUGGUCUAGGUGCGGUGGCAAGUUUAGCCAGUUUCCUUCAUGACCAUACACCAAAGAGCAAAGAUUUAUUUGAAAAGUUUAAAAGGAUUGAGCUUUCUGCAAUUCGCACUGCCUGGUGCCAGUCACGCUCUGAUCUCAGAGCAUACUGUUACAAUCCUCUCUUCUCAAAGCCCAAGACUCUCAUUUAGACAGAGGCUGUGCCAGCCCUAACCAGUAAGAGUACAUCCCUCUCAGAAAUCAUUACAGCUGUAAAGCACACAGGUAGUCUUCUUAGUUUUACAGGAGCCAUCUUACUUUUCUUUGGUCAGUCUUUAAAAAAAGCUUUUUUUUUUAAAACAAGCCUUAAUUUUAAGUUUUGCUAAAUGCCAAUGCACUUGAUGAACUUAACAACUUUGUGGUCAUAUACCUACAGAGGAGGGAAUGAGGGAGAGAGAGAAAGAGAGAACAAGCUUUUACAACAACAGCUGCAAAAAUUCUUACUCCUUUUAGGUUUCAUUUUAAUUUACUAGACAUCAAUGUGACCAUAUCCCUUGACGGUUGUUCUGAGGUGCUCUGAAACCCAGUGCUUUUUGGUCUCUUUGAUGUACCAAGUUUCCUGUGCAGUGCAACGCACAGUUACCUCUACUCUGGACUUCCCAGUACAGGGGCUGUGGGAAUGGCAGAUCUGGGCCUUUGCUUUGGACCAAUUAAUCACCAAGGAAUCAGCACAGUAUUAUAGGUAUCAUCAGAUCCCUAUCAGCCUAAACAGAAAUGCUUUGAGAGAGUAAAUGGGUGGCAGGACCAAAGGGAGCUUAUGUCAUUGAAUUCACACUGUAAUCUACUUGUAGAUUGUUUAGGCCUCCCAUCUCUCAUCCUCUUCUUCUCUUCCUGUUUCUAGGAAAGAAACUAGCCUCCACCCUGCUAAUGAUUCCUUAGGGGAAGCAGCGUCAAGAGGCAACACUUGCUGCAGCAGAGAAAAGCCACGGCUGCUGCUGCUGUCGUGGCGCACAGCAUCAGACUAAGAGCAUCUGCAGCCUACCGACAUCAACUCAUCUAAGUGGAAAACUCAGCCAGGAGCUGCAAGGAUUACUGAGGCCUCAAAGCCAGCCGUUAGUAUUAUACCACCAUAAUCAACAGACUCGUGGACUGAAUUUCCGGCCUCCUCUGCUCUACAGGAAUGUUGUAAAACCACUCAACCCCCUACCUGGAGAGAAACAAAAUUAUCUACCCUCUCAUAAAAUUUUCUGCCAAUUAAAGAAGAAAGGAAAAUCUUUGGUGGAAGGCAGCAAGCUACAGGAAGAAGAGCUGGGACGUAGAAGUCGAUGAAGUUCUGCCUGAUUCUACUUUCAGUUGAGUCAAUGGCAAGUUGCCCACCGCAGGCCCUGUCAUUGCUGCCUGAAGUCAGACUCACAGAUAAGCAUCCAAAUUCCACGGACUUUGAAAGGGAUUUUGGUAUCUAAGACAAUUAACUGUCUUUGGAAAUCCUAGACACAUAAGAGAAUGCAUUCACCAAGCUUCCCUGUGCAAGCAUCAAAUACUUCUUCAUUUCACAGAGAGAGAGUGUACCAAGAAACAGCUUAAAUUAUUUGCACAAAGCUUCACAAGAAGCCAAAACUAGAGAAGAAAACUGUCUCUAACAUAUUCUGGAUAAUACUGUAUUUGAAUUCUGGCAUUUCUAUUUUGCCUCUUAGCCAAAGCAAGGAACUGCACUGACACAGUUUAAUCAGAAGAAAAGAGUAUAUUCCAGUUAGCAUUUUCAAUGCCAGGUAGGCUGUCUGUUCCUCAGAUGGGUUAUGGGUCUAUGAAAAGGUUUUAGACAAUUCUCAUUUUAAUCAAACUGGUUGAAAUCUAGUGCAUUAUCAGACUUAAACUCCCGUAGGCAGCAGCACUGGUUUUCCAGAAAAUGGGAAGAAGGAAUCACAACACCAGUUUUACAAAAGCCACUAUCUACAGUUCUGCACAUUUCCUAGUCUUCUGUUUCUCUUAUCUGGCAUGACAAAAAGGAAAAUAGAAGAGAAAGGAAAUCACUGGUAGAGAGACCAAUGGAAAAGAGCUGCUACACAGAAGAAAAUAGUUGAAAUAGUUAGAAAUACCCAUACAGGCAAAAGAUAAGAAAACUGAUCAAAUUCCAUAUAAAACAGCUUAGGAAAACAAAAUCUUCACAGCAGUAGUGGUGCAAUUAGGGUUAAGGCCCAAAUCUGUUAUACUUGAAAUUCUUACCACAUUAAAUAGUCAUUAUCUGUACAGUUAACCCAUAAAACCAGACAUUCUGGGAUUAUGAGUAAACAUUUGUUAAGUUAGACUUCAAAGCUAUGCCCUUGAAAAUUCUGAGAAAGCACCUAUAAACCUCAUUCUCUCAUUUUUCAAAGGGAAGCCCAAAAUUAGCAGCACAUCUAAGCAUGACCAUUGGGAGUGGUGAACAGUCAUGAAAAACACCAGUUAUGUAAGACACAAAAAAUGAUGAACCACACAUGGAAAGUAAAAUGGACCCAUCCUUCCCCCACACUAUCACAUCCCCAUUACAUGUUUGUUUUCAGCUGUGUCAGAAAAAUACCAACACUUCUGAAGCUCUUCAAUUUUCUAAUUUAUUAUGGCUGUACAACUGCACCAAUGAAAAAGACGGGCAGCCUCUGGGGAGACAUCUUUCUCAAUCGCUCACUCUCUCGAACUGACGUUCUCUUUCACUGUCCAAGGACUCUGAUGAGAAUACAUCUACCACAUCCCCUGGCCAUCCAAAUUUCCACCAGAGUUUACAGAAACACACAAAAUGUAAGAUCGUAUCCCUAGGAAUUGUAGAAGAAAAUCAAAUUGCAUGCUUGAUAAAUCACAUGCAAACCACAUGCUUGAUCUUUAGUAAAAGUUAAAAUAGAAAAUGGCAACAACGUUAUACUUUAAUAUCCUCAUUGCAUUAUUAGAUAUUUAGAAAUUUAGUCUAAGCCAAAGGCCUCAGUACAACGAAACUCAUACAAGAACACUCUUAUAGGAGAUAAUUUUAGCAAAAUAAAGGCUGAAUUCUAGGCUACCAGAUUUUCUAACUAUCAUUGGUUUUUUCUCACCAAAUUGCAAGGGUGACAGGGCAGGAGUUUUCUCUAAUUAUGUGUUUGUGUCAUCUGUCAUGUACGUACUCUACUGUAAUACAAAGAAGCAAACAAUAAUAGCAAACAGAAAUAGUAAUAGCAAUAAAUAAACAUUUAACUUUAAUGAGAGGCUUAAGAAGAAAGAG
Molecule: long non-coding RNA, 5517 nt
Organism: Cuculus canorus (common cuckoo)
Lineage: Eukaryota; Metazoa; Chordata; Aves; Cuculiformes; Cuculidae
Exons: 4
Source: RefSeq, a predicted model, not a curated record